UGAGUAAUACAUCGGAACGUGCCCAAUCGUGGGGGAUAACGCAGCGAAAGCUGUGCUAAUACCGCAUACGAUCUACGGAUGAAAGCAGGGGAUCGCAAGACCUUGCGCGAAUGGAGCGGCCGAUGGCAGAUUAGGUAGUUGGUGAGGUAAAGGCUCACCAAGCCUUCGAUCUGUAGCUGGUCUGAGAGGACGACCAGCCACACUGGGACUGAGACACGGCCCAGACUCCUACGGGAGGCAGCAGUGGGGAAUUUUGGACAAUGGGCGAAAGCCUGAUCCAGCCAUGCCGCGUGCAGGAUGAAGGCCUUCGGGUUGUAAACUGCUUUUGUACGGAACGAAACGGUCUUUUCUAAUACAGAAGGCUAAUGACGGUACCGUAAGAAUAAGCACCGGCUAACUACGUGCCAGCAGCCGC
RNAcentral lists this ribosomal RNA (415 nucleotides) under uncultured Variovorax sp. Its description in RNAcentral is "bacterial SSU rRNA". It matches the Rfam family "Bacterial small subunit ribosomal RNA", at positions 107 to 518 of the family's 1533-position model. Lineage: Bacteria; Pseudomonadati; Pseudomonadota; Betaproteobacteria; Burkholderiales; Comamonadaceae. The record is from RNAcentral.